GCUGUAGUGAAGGUAUUUGAUGCACACGAGAGUGUAGGCGAGGGUUAGAAAAGGGGACGAAAGGCGCCGGGGCCGGUUCCGGUGCCCGCCGCCGCCGAGUGAGGAAUGGAGGAGGGCGAGUGAUCGGUAAGUGGUGGGAUGGAGCGGAGCCGGGAGGGCCCCGUGCCCACCUCGCGUCUCGAACACGCGUGGAGCGACCGCCCCGGCUCUGCCGAGCCUCCCCUCGGGGGUGCGGAGCGGAAGGGAACGGGGCCGGGCACUGGCGAGGCCGAACCGAGCCGCUGCGGUUCCCCCUAGCCCUGCGCGGCGGCUCCGGGCCCGCGGGCGGCGGAGGAACGGGGGAGGCUGAGCCCUGGCCCUGCCGGUGCCCGGUGCGGCCCUUCCAGAACCGAAACCGCUCCCGGAGCCGCGGGGACACUCCGUGGUUCCCGUUCGUUCCCUCGGCGAAGCUUUUGGGGCCGCAGUCGUUGUGGGGUUUUUUGCCAUUUCGGGAAGGAGCUUUUCAGAGCGAAGGACCGAGGAGGCACCAGCACCGCGCGGCGCCGGGGCCUCCGCCGCGGCUGUUCA
Molecule: long non-coding RNA, 567 nt
Filed under: Phasianus colchicus (ring-necked pheasant)
Lineage: Eukaryota; Metazoa; Chordata; Aves; Galliformes; Phasianidae
Description: lncRNA (ENSPCLG00000012318.1)
Source: RNAcentral